UAAUAAGUGUUUUAUGGCACUUUUUAAAUCCAUAUCCACCUUGUGUGCAAUGUCAGUCGUUUCUCUUCUUCGGGAGGGGAACGACCAAACAUCAACUUAUUCUUAAACUCUUUGUCUGAAAAAUAUUAUGAAUAAAAAAAUAAUUCAAAAUA
Molecule: unclassified non-coding RNA, 152 nt
Filed under: uncultured Mortierella
Lineage: Eukaryota; Fungi; Mortierellomycota; Mortierellomycetes; Mortierellales; Mortierellaceae
Description: sequence contains ITS1
Source: RNAcentral